Molecule: ribosomal RNA, 505 nt
Filed under: uncultured bacterium
Lineage: Bacteria
Description: partial 16S ribosomal RNA
Rfam family: Bacterial small subunit ribosomal RNA
Source: RNAcentral
GACGAACGCUGGCGGCGUGCCUAAUACAUGCAAGUAGAACGCACAGUUUAUACCGUAGCUUGCUACACCAUAAACUGUGAGUUGCGAACGGGUGAGUAACGCGUAGGUAACCUGCCUGGUAGCGGGGGAUAACUAUUGGAAACGAUAGUUAAUACCGCAUAAUAUUGAUUAUUGCAUGAUAAUUGAUUGAAAGAUGCUAUUGCAUCACUACCAGAUGGACCUGCGUUGUAUUAGCUAGUAGGUGAGGUAACGGCUCACCUAGGCGACGAUACAUAGCCGACCUGAGAGGGUGAUCGGCCACACUGGGACUGAGACACGGCCCAGACUCCUACGGGAGGCAGCAGUAGGGAAUCUUCGGCAAUGGACGAAAGUCUGACCGAGCAACGCCGCGUGAGUGAAGAAGGUUUUCGGAUCGUAAAGCUCUGUUGUAAGAGAAGAACGGGUGUGAGAGUGGAAAGUUCACACUGUGACGGUAUCUUACCAGAAAGGGACGGCUAACUACGUG